GUUUGACCUCGGAUCAGGUAGGAAUACCCGCUGAACUUAAGCAUAUCAAUAAGCGGAGGAAA
RNAcentral lists this ribosomal RNA (62 nucleotides) under Paraeutypella vitis. RNAcentral's name for it is "Eutypella vitis partial 28S ribosomal RNA". It matches the Rfam family "Eukaryotic large subunit ribosomal RNA", at positions 1 to 59 of the family's 3401-position model. The record is from RNAcentral. Lineage: Eukaryota; Fungi; Ascomycota; Sordariomycetes; Xylariales; Diatrypaceae.